GCAAUUACACAGGCACAGUGUCAAACAAUGAAAUAAAAACAAACCUACAUUUGCUAAGCCGUAAUGCAGUACAGAAGUCAGGCCCUGUCCAGCAAGGAUGAAAUUCAACUCCCCCUGCGAGAUCCUUGGAUGCGACUGCGGGGUGUCGUAGACCAGAAAACACCAUGCGACAAACCACAUCACUCCAAUACUACCUGCACAUGUACCAGCCGUUUUGUGUAUCCAAGGCUGAUUCAAGUUCUCAAAAGGAAGCUACAGGUGGCUGCUGUGAAGUCCAGACAGAGCAACACGCAUUUGCUUGGACAUUCUUGCUUGGAUUCUUGGUGCCGUUUGGAUCCCCCACUAGUUCUGUGAUUAAAGCUGUGUCUGACCGUAAUGUAUGUGCAGAUGGUGUACACAAAAUUUAUUCAGCAAUUUUGGUGAUAGAUGGGACAAACAAGCAUAAGCCAUUCUGGACAACACGGUGAUGAGUGGCUGAAAUUUAGGCAAUCAAUGUUUUUAUUCCUUCAUUUUUUGAGUUUGUGAAACAUGCUUAACAAUUUUGUGUGGAGCCUGUGGCUCUCAAGCCUCACAGGACAAGAAUCCAAACCAGCUCACAAAAACACCAGAGAGCAGUCACCAGAGACUGGAUUGCAAUACAAUAAUAUCCAAUCAUAAAUAACUGGCUGUGAAUUUUUGAACUCCAAGCAUCACGGGAGAUCAUGCGACAACGGUUUUGUAGUUACAGUUUAGAACUCGAAUGACACUUAAAAUACCUAUGCUGGUAAACGUUUGCUCUUAUGUCAUAUUAAACCGAUAAUGCCCAGAUCUUCGAAGCAAUGCUUUGUACUGUAUAUCGAAGCCACAACAUCCAACCUGUUUGCUCAAGUGCAGGUACUCGCAAAUCACGGAAAGUUAAUACAAUAUGAUUUCCUAACAGUGCAGCAGUGCUACAUGUCAAGACCACGAUGGUAGGGUGAUUACUCAUGUUUUCAACAGGUAUGAUAUAUUAAAUCAUUGUCAUGAUAU
Molecule: long non-coding RNA, 1008 nt
Organism: Ornithodoros turicata
Lineage: Eukaryota; Metazoa; Arthropoda; Arachnida; Ixodida; Argasidae
Exons: 3
Source: RefSeq, a predicted model, not a curated record